GCACUAGACCGACUCUGAAAGGAGUCUUCCCUUCGGGGCUGGUGCACAGGUGCUGCAUGGCUGUCGUCAGCUCGUGUCGUGAGAUGUUGCGUUAAGUCGCGCAACGAGCGCAACCCCUGUCCUUAGUUGCCAUCAGGUAAAGCUGGGCACUCUAGGGAGACAAACCCUCUCUGAGGGUGGGAAGGUGGGGAUGACGUCAAGUCAGGAUGGCCCUUACGGCCUGGGCUGCACACGUGCUACAAUGCCCGAUACAGAGGGACGCAAUACCGUGAGGUGGAGCAAAUCCUAAAAAUCGGGCCCAGUUCAGAUUGCAGUCUGCAACUCGACUGCAUGAAGCCGGAAUCGCUAGUAAUGGCGCAUCAGCUACGGCGCCGUGAAUACGU
RNAcentral lists this ribosomal RNA (383 nucleotides) under uncultured bacterium. RNAcentral's name for it is "bacterial SSU rRNA". It matches the Rfam family "Bacterial small subunit ribosomal RNA", at positions 988 to 1371 of the family's 1533-position model. The record is from RNAcentral.